This 102-nucleotide Y RNA is filed under the name Otolemur garnettii (small-eared galago). RNAcentral's name for it is "Y RNA (ENSOGAG00000034098.1)". It matches the Rfam family "Y RNA". Rfam says of the family: Y RNAs are components of the Ro ribonucleoprotein particle (Ro RNP), in association with Ro60 and La proteins. The Y RNAs and Ro60 and La proteins are well conserved, but the function of the Ro RNP is not known. In humans the RNA component can be one of four small RNAs -- hY1, hY3, hY4 and hY5. Lineage: Eukaryota; Metazoa; Chordata; Mammalia; Primates; Galagidae. The record is from RNAcentral.
CCCUGGUCCCAGUGCGGUGGUGUUUACAAUGAGUUGAACACAACCAGUUACAGAUCCCUUUGUUCCUUCUCCACUCCGACUGCUUCACUUCACCAGUCUUAA